RNAcentral lists this ribosomal RNA (497 nucleotides) under uncultured bacterium. RNAcentral describes it as "partial 16S ribosomal RNA". It matches the Rfam family "Bacterial small subunit ribosomal RNA", at positions 28 to 507 of the family's 1533-position model. The record is from RNAcentral.
GAUGAACGCUGGCGGCGUGCCUAAUACAUGCAAGUCGAGCGAACAGACGAGGAGCUUGCUCCUCUGGCGUUAGCGGCGGACGGGUGAGUAACACGUGGAUAACCUACCUAUAAGACUGGGAUAACUUCGGGAAACCGGAGCUAAUACCGGAUAAUAUAUUGAACCGCAUGGUUCAAUAGUGAAAGACGGUUUUGCUGUAACUUAUAGAUGGAUCCGCGCCGCAUUAGCUAGUUGGUAAGGUAACGGCUUACCAAGGCAACGAUGCGUAGCCGACCUGAGAGGGUGAUCGGCCACACUGGAACUGAGACACGGUCCAGACUCCUACGGGAGGCAGCAGUAGGGAAUCUUCCGCAAUGGGCGAAAGCCUGACGGAGCAACGCCGCGUGAGUGAUGAAGGUCUUCGGAUCGUAAAACUCUGUUAUUAGGGAAGAACAAAUGUGUAAGUAACUAUGCACGUCUUGACGGUACCUAAUCAGAAAGCCACGGCUAACUACGUG